Molecule: long non-coding RNA, 442 nt
Filed under: Vigna radiata
Lineage: Eukaryota; Viridiplantae; Streptophyta; Magnoliopsida; Fabales; Fabaceae
Description: long non-coding RNA (VRAD_LNC002709)
Source: RNAcentral
GGGAUCACCCUGCAAUCUAACCAGAAGCAUGCAAAAAAAAAAAUUGGGGGCCAUCCUCUUAGCCAAUCCUUUGCAUACCCACCACCUCUUCCGAAUGGAGCCCCAUGUAAAAAAAACAAAAAAAAAACAAAACAAAACUAGGGCAGCUUUGUGGAUCUCACCACGCGUCUUUUCCUUGAAAUUCAUCAACCCAUAAUCUCAAGAUUGGGGCAACUUUGUGAAUCCCACUUGAAAUUUUCAUCCUAUUUUUCAUAGAUCCAAACCCCACGCACCUUUUCCCUAACACCAAACUGGGGAACCUUUUAGGUAUCUCAUAAUUUUCUUUGGUACUCACAUACUACAUCCCCUUUAAGAAGUGUAUGAAGUGAUGUGCCCGCAUGGCUAUCCCAUUCUCUUCCAAACCAUUCUAAACAUCUGUCAUUCUCUUCAAAACCAUUCUCUU